Molecule: RNA transcript, 879 nt
Organism: Durio zibethinus
Lineage: Eukaryota; Viridiplantae; Streptophyta; Magnoliopsida; Malvales; Malvaceae
Gene name: dol-P-Man:Man(5)GlcNAc(2)-PP-Dol alpha-1,3-mannosyltransferase-like
Source: RefSeq, a predicted model, not a curated record
UCCAAACAGUCCAAUGUGGCAAUUUCUUUAUCCUCGAUCAAAAUACAAACAAACAUUAAUUCAACCCAAAAGAAAAAUUAUGGCAGUGAAAAUUUCAGCUUCUGCUCCUUAUGUCAAACGCUCUUGGAGAAGAGAUGCUGGUGCUUCUUCUUUGAUUCCCAAACUUCUCAAGAACCCAAAAACAUUAAUGGCGUUGGCUUUGCUUUUCAUUGACUCCCAUCCUCGUCUCCCUAAUCAUCGCCUACGUCCCUUUAAAGUUCCAUAAAAAUCCACUCUCUAACUUUUUCUUCCCUGAAUAAUUAAACUCUUUGGUGACAUGUCACGGUUUCAAUUUUCAGAUACGGGGAUAGAUUGGGCCGCUACAAUGUCGCAGUGGCGCAGUUUCGUUAAAGAUGAAUCUCCUCUAUGCUGCACCUCCUUUUAUACUCAUGCUAAGGCAAUGAAUAUUAGUGGGGUAAAAUCAGCUUUAGCUGGUGUGGCACUUGUGCAGAUUAAAUUCUUUUUCUUUCUUAACAUGGGAACUGGGAAGAAAAUAUAAAUCUCCAUGCAUCUUAACUUACUUUCAACAUGGUUAGGCGAGUUGGACUACUUCACUUAAUGUUGUGGCAGGAGGCAAUGUCUGCCAGUAUGUUGAUUGACUUUUACAUACUCAGUAAAUGGUUCUGCAGAUUGUGCUGGGGCUGCCAAUUUUAGUAUCAUAUCCAAUUGAAUAUAUAUUGUGAGCCUUUAAUCUUGGACGUGUCUUCAUCCACUUCUGGUAAGUUUAUAGCAUUGAAAAUGCUCACCCUUCUCCUUAGUUUCCAGUUACUAACAAAUUGACAGGAUUAUUCAGUAGCAUCUUUAAUGAAUUUUAGGUAAUUUUUCUUGUAUUAUUGAUAU